RNAcentral lists this ribosomal RNA (468 nucleotides) under uncultured bacterium. RNAcentral's name for it is "bacterial SSU rRNA". It matches the Rfam family "Bacterial small subunit ribosomal RNA", at positions 11 to 527 of the family's 1533-position model. The record is from RNAcentral.
GUUUGAUCAUGGCUCAGAACGAACGCUGGCGGCGGGCUUAACACAUGCAAGUCGAGCGCCUCGCAAGAGGAGCGGCAGACGGGUGAGUAACACGUGGGAAUCUACCCAUCCUUACGGAACAACUCCGGGAAACUGGAGCUAAUACCGUAUACGCCCUUCGGGGGAAAGAUUUAUCGAGGAUGGAUGAGCCCGCGUUGGAUUAGCUAGUUGGUGGGGUAAAGGCCUACCAAGGCGACGAUCCAUAGCUGGUCUGAGAGGAUGAUCAGCCACAUUGGGACUGAGACACGGCCCAAACUCCUACGGGAGGCAGCAGUGGGGAAUAUUGGACAAUGGGCGCAAGCCUGAUCCAGCCAUGCCGCGUGAGUGAUGAAGGCCCUAGGGUUGUAAAGCUCUUUCACCGGAGAAGAUAAUGACGGUAUCCGGAGAAGGAGCCCCGGCUAACUUCGUGCCAGCAGCCGCGGUUAGCUG